UACGGAGGAUGCAAGCGUUAUCCGGAUUUAUUGGGUUUAAAGGGUGCGCAGGCGGCGCGUUAAGUCAGCGGUGAAAUGUCCGGGCUCAACCUGGGCAGUGCCGUUGAUACUGGCGUGCUAGAGUACAGACGGCGCCGGCGGAAUGUGUCAUGUAGCGGUGAAAUGCUUAGAUAUGCCACAGAACACCGAUCGCGAAGGCAGCUGGCGAGGCUGGAACUGACGCUCAGGCACGAAAGCGUGGGGAUCAAAC
RNAcentral lists this ribosomal RNA (250 nucleotides) under uncultured prokaryote. Its description in RNAcentral is "partial 16S ribosomal RNA". It matches the Rfam family "Bacterial small subunit ribosomal RNA", at positions 524 to 773 of the family's 1533-position model. The record is from RNAcentral.